This 370-nucleotide ribosomal RNA is filed under the name uncultured bacterium. Its description in RNAcentral is "bacterial SSU rRNA". It matches the Rfam family "Bacterial small subunit ribosomal RNA", at positions 29 to 424 of the family's 1533-position model. The record is from RNAcentral.
AACGAACGCUGGCGGCAUGCCUAACACAUGCAAGUCGAACGAGACCUUCGGGUCUAGUGGCGCACGGGUGCGUAACGCGUGGGAAUCUGCCCUUGGGUUCGGAAUAACAGUUAGAAAUGACUGCUAAUACCGGAUAAUGUCUUCGGACCAAAGAUUUAUCGCCCAGGGAUGAGCCCGCGUAGGAUUAGCUAGUUGGUGAGGUAAAGGCUCACCAAGGCGACGAUCCUUAGCUGGUCUGAGAGGAUGAUCAGCCACACUGGGACUGAGACACGGCCCAGACUCCUACGGGAGGGCAGCAGUGGGGAAUAUUGGGACAAUGGGCGAAAGCCUGAUCCAGCAAUGCCGCGUGAGUGAUGAAGGCCUUCGGGUU